UGUAACUGUUGGCAGUUCGUUUGACAAGCUCACCAGCAGUUCGGCAAGUAAUGAAGAAAAUCGGUAUCGGUGGACUGAUGAAGAGAAUCAGUAUCGCCAGCGGACGGACAAAGAGAAUCAGUAUAGGCGGACGAAUGAACAGAAUCAGUAUAGGUGGACAGAUGAACAGAAUCAGCAUCGGCGGACUGAUGAACAGAAUCAGUAUCGCCGGCGGACGAACGAAGAGAAUCAGCAUCGGCGGACCUAUGAAGAGAAUCAGCAUCGGCGGACCUAUGAAGAGAAUCAGCAUCGGCGGACCUAUGAAGAGAAUCAGCAUAGGAGGAUGAAUGAAGAGAACCAGUGUUGGCGGGUGAAUGAAGAGAAGCAGUGUCGGCAGACGAAUGAAGAGAAUCAGUAUCGCAGGACGAAUGAAGAGAAUCAGUAUCAGCGAACACACACAAAUCAUAACUUAGUUCCUGUGGAUCAG
Molecule: long non-coding RNA, 466 nt
Filed under: Setaria viridis
Lineage: Eukaryota; Viridiplantae; Streptophyta; Magnoliopsida; Poales; Poaceae
Description: long non-coding RNA (SVIR_LNC000156)
Source: RNAcentral